RNAcentral lists this transfer RNA (70 nucleotides) under Ovis aries (sheep). It matches the Rfam family "tRNA". Rfam says of the family: Transfer RNA (tRNA) molecules are approximately 80 nucleotides in length. Their secondary structure includes four short double-helical elements and three loops (D, anti-codon, and T loops). The record is from Rfam by way of RNAcentral. Lineage: Eukaryota; Metazoa; Chordata; Mammalia; Artiodactyla; Bovidae.
UCCUGGUUCUCAGAUGGUAAAGAAUCUGCCUGCAAUUCAGGAGACCCAGGUUUGAUCCCUGGGCUGGGAA